GCGAUGACGACUCCCUCUUCUCUCCAUUGACGAUACGACGCCCUCUCUUUCUCCUCUUUCUUCUUCGCUCAAUCAACGACAACAACACCCGCUCUCUCUCCUCUUCCUUAUUAGUCUCCAUCAACAACGACACCCUCUCUCUCAUCUUUCUUCUUUUCACGCAAAGCUCUGUUUUUCAUCUGGUGAGGUAUGUGUUUUCUAGAUCAGAUUCUUAUUUCAAUUUUGUAGAUCUGUUAGGCCAACCUAUAUGGAUCUAACAAUAGAUCCGUUAUUUCAAUUUUCUAGAUCAGAUUCUUCUCAAGCGAAGUUUUUGUAUCUAUUGAUUUAUUAAGACUAUAUGGAUCUAACAAUUCGUUUGGCCAGCCUUGUCAUUGGUGUGGGGUGAAAUGAUUUGGCUUUAAUUCACAUUUAUAAAUAAGUUUUGAACUCUGCUUGAUUGCCUGAAUGGAAGGUUUGGACAUACAUCCUUAAUUCUUGAUCAUUUUUCAUUUUCAUUAGUCUAACGUUCUAAUAUUGGUCUCAUAGAACUUUUGAGAUUGACGAGAUUGCAAAUUGUAACAAUGUAGUUGGUAGGAAUUAAGCUAUUUUUUUAGGUGAAAAACUAUUGUUCCAUGUUCUGAAUUUUCCUCUUGGAAAAGCAUUAGUUUUGCCUCCUCUGUUAUAAACUGCAUCUGUUUGUUGGAGUGUUGGCAGAAACUGCAUUGCAGUUUCUGGUUUCAUAAAGGCAAUGUUACAACUGCUCAUGGAGUUAAAUGUGUUUUUAUCUAAGUUUUAGUACUUUGAACAUGGUUUUCUUUUGGUUUCUAUUCAAAUUUAAGGGUAUGUUAUCACAUAAAGUGCAAUGUUGUUUCUGUUAUUUCAGUUUUUGACUAUAAACUGUAGUGCAGUUUCUUGUUUCAUAAUUCGAUUUCAUACUAAUAUUUGGAUUUCUAUUGGAAUGUUACAACUGCUCAUGUACAUUAUUUAGUGAUUUUAAUUGUUUUCUGUUUUUGUUUGUUGUUUUGUUUGCAUUUUCAAGGCUAAUGGAGGUGUGUGUCAUUGCCAAGUGCACAUAUAAGUCGGAAACCAUCAUGUUUUCAGUUUCAUCAGAGUCAUCCAUGGUUGAUAUUUUGAAGACUUUGUGUCUGAGGUUUAGGGGUUUGCAGUUGGGUUGUUUCACAUUACGGUAUUCGGUGCUCAGUUAUCCGAGUUGUUUUCUAGAAAUGGAUAGCGAUUUGGACUUGAUGAGGACAUUUUUGUUGACAUCAAAUGAGAAGACUGUUGAUAUUUUAGUGAAGGAUUUAUGCGGGAGCAAUGAAUAUAGUGGUGAUUUUUGUGUAAAUAAGGAGUUGAUAGCAUGUGAAAAGGGCGAGUCGUCGUGUUAUGAAAUUGAAUUAUG
Molecule: long non-coding RNA, 1378 nt
Filed under: Prunus dulcis (almond)
Lineage: Eukaryota; Viridiplantae; Streptophyta; Magnoliopsida; Rosales; Rosaceae
Description: sRNA ncRNA
Source: RNAcentral